This 492-nucleotide ribosomal RNA is filed under the name uncultured bacterium. RNAcentral describes it as "partial 16S ribosomal RNA". It matches the Rfam family "Bacterial small subunit ribosomal RNA", at positions 29 to 507 of the family's 1533-position model. The record is from RNAcentral.
AGUGAACGCUGGCGGUAGGCCUAACACAUGCAAGUCGAACGGCAGCACAGUAAGAGCUUGCUCUUACGGGUGGCGAGUGGCGGACGGGUGAGGAAUACAUCGGAAUCUACUUUUUCGUGGGGGAUAACGUAGGGAAACUUACGCUAAUACCGCAUACGACCUACGGGUGAAAGCAGGGGAUCUUCGGACCUUACGCGAUUGAAUGAGCCGAUGUCGGAUUAGCUAGUUGGCGGGGUAAAGGCCCACCAAGGCGACGAUCCGUAGCUGGUCUGAGAGGAUGAUCAGCCACACUGGAACUGAGACACGGUCCAGACUCCUACGGGAGGCAGCAGUGGGGAAUAUUGGACAAUGGGCGCAAGCCUGAUCCAGCCUUACCGCGUGGGUGAAGAAGGCCUUCGGGUUGUAAAGCCCUUUUGUUGGGAAAGAAAAGCAGCAGGUUAAUACCCCGCUGUUCUGACGGUACCCAAAGAAUAAGCACCGGCUAACUUCGUG